This 551-nucleotide ribosomal RNA is filed under the name Suillus luteus. RNAcentral's name for it is "eukaryotic LSU rRNA". The stretch from base 185 to 339 matches the Rfam family "5.8S ribosomal RNA". Lineage: Eukaryota; Fungi; Basidiomycota; Agaricomycetes; Boletales; Suillaceae. The record is from RNAcentral.
AAAGGCGGAGGGUUGUAGCUGGCCUCUAGGGGCAUGUGCACGCUCUCUUCCGGACCUUUCGCCGUAUGGGCGCGGGGCGACCCGCGUCUUCAUAUACCUCUUCGUGUAGAAAGUCUUUGAAUGUUUUACCAUCAUCGAGUCGCGACUUCUAGGAGACGCGAUUCUUUGAGAAAAAAGUUAUUACAACUUUCAGCAACGGAUCUCUUGGCUCUCGCAUCGAUGAAGAACGCAGCGAAUCGCGAUAUGUAAUGUGAAUUGCAGAUCUACAGUGAAUCAUCGAAUCUUUGAACGCACCUUGCGCUCCUCGGUGUUCCGAGGAGCAUGCCUGUUUGAGUGUCAGUAAAUUCUCAACCCCUCUCGAUUUGCUUCGAGCGGGUGCUUGGAUGUUGGGGGCUGCCGGAGACACUGGAUUCGUCCAGGACUCGGGCUCCUCUUAAAUGAAUCGGCUCGCGGUCGACUUUCGACUUUGCAUGACAAGGCCUUUGGCGUGAUAAUGAUCGCCGUUCGCCGAAGUGCAAGACAGAAUGGUCCCGUGCCUCUAAUGCGUCGAA